AGAGUUUGAUCCUGGCUCAGAACGAACGCUGGCGGCGCGUUUUAAGCAUGCAAGUCGAACGGUAAUAGGGUGCUUGCACUCUAUGAGAGUGGCGAACGGGUGAGUAACACGUGGGUAAUCUACCUUGAAGUUGGGGAUAGCCUGUGGAAACACAGGGUAAUACCGAAUGUCCUCAUUUCGGUGAGGAAAGAGGCUAAGGCCUCGCUUUGGGAUGAGCCUGCGGCUCAUUAGCUAGUUGGUGGGGUAAAGGCCUACCAAGGCGACGAUGAGUAGCCGACCUGAGAGGGUGACCGGCCACACUGGGACUGAGACACGGCCCAGACUCCUACGGGAGGCAGCAGCUAAGAAUCUUCCGCAAUGGCCGAAAGGCUGACGGAGCGACGCCGCGUGGACGAUGAAGGCCGGGAGGUUGUAAGGUCCUUUUAUUGGAGAAGAAUAAUGCGGGGAGGGAAUGCCCUGCAGAUGACGUUAUCCUAUGAAUAAGCCCCGGCUAAUUACGUGCCAGCAGCCGCGGUAACACGUAAGGGGCAAGCGUUGUUCGGAAUUAUUGGGCGUAAAGGGCGCGUAGGCGGCUAUGAAAGUCUGGUGUGAAAGGCCACCCUUAACGGUGGGAGUGCACUGGAAACUACAUGGCUAGAGUUCAAGAGGGGAAGCUGGAAUUCCUGGUGUAGGGGUGAAAUCUGUAGAUAUCAGGAAGAACACCUGUGGCGAAGGCGAGCUUCUGGCUAUGAACUGACGCUGAGGCGCGAAAGCGUGGGGAGCGAACAGGAUUAGAUACCCUGGUAGUCCACGCUGUAAACGAUGUGCACUAGGUGUUGGCUGUUGUAACGGUCAGUGCCGAAGCAAACGCGAUAAGUGCACCGCCUGGGGAGUAUGCUCGCAAGGGUGAAACUCAAAGGAAUUGACGGGGGCCCGCACAAGCGGUGGAGCAUGUGGUUUAAUUCGAUACGCGAGGAACCUUACCAGGGCUUGACAUAUGCAUGACGAUCAUAGAGAUAUGGUUUCCCUUCGGGGCGUGUAUACAGGUGCUGCAUGGUUGUCGUCAGCUCGUGCUGUGAGGUGUUGGGUUAAGUCCCGCAACGAGCGCAACCCCUGCUGUCUGUUGCCAGCAUUUCGGAUGGGGACUCAGACGGUACUGCCGGUGACAAACCGGAGGAAGGUGGGGAUGACGUCAAAUCAUCAUGGCCCUUAUGCCCUGGGCUACACACGUGCUACAAUGGUUGGUACAGAGCGAUGCAAAACCGCGAGGUGGAGCAAAUCGCAGAAAGCCGGCCUCAGUACGGAUUGGAGUCUGAAACUCGACUUCAUGAAGUUGGAAUCGCUAGUAAUCGCGCAUCAGCAUGGCGCGGUGAAUACGUUCCCGGGCCUUGUACACACCGCCCGUCACACCACCCGAGUUGGGGGUACCCGAAGUCGCUCGUCUAACCGGUUACGGAGGACGGUGCCGAAGGUAUGCCUGGUAAGGGGGGUGAAGUCGUAACAAGGUA
Molecule: ribosomal RNA, 1487 nt
Filed under: metagenome
Description: bacterial SSU rRNA
Rfam family: Bacterial small subunit ribosomal RNA
Source: RNAcentral